RNAcentral lists this ribosomal RNA (373 nucleotides) under uncultured eukaryote. RNAcentral's name for it is "partial 18S ribosomal RNA". It matches the Rfam family "Eukaryotic small subunit ribosomal RNA", at positions 592 to 976 of the family's 1831-position model. The record is from RNAcentral.
CAAUAGCGUAUAUUAAAGUUGUUGCAGUUAAAAAGCUCGUAGUUGAAUUUUUGCUUGCCGCCGAUGUCGGAACUUCCGUACGUUCGGCGGCGUGCAUCCUUGGGUGGAACCUGUGUGGCAUUAGGUUGUCGUGCAGGGGAUGCUCAUCGUUUACUGUGAAAAAAUUAGAGUGUUCAAAGCAGGCUUAUGCCGUUGAAUAUAUUAGCAUGGAAUAAUAAGAUAGGACCUUGGUACUAUUUUGUUGGUUUGCGCACCGAGGUAAUGAUUAACAGGGACAGUUGGGGGUAUUCGUAUUCCAUUGUCAGAGGUGAAAUUCUUGGAUUUCUGGAAGACGAACUACUGCGAAAGCAUUUACCAAGGAUGUUUNCAUUAA